Molecule: long non-coding RNA, 2028 nt
Organism: Papio anubis (olive baboon)
Lineage: Eukaryota; Metazoa; Chordata; Mammalia; Primates; Cercopithecidae
Source: Ensembl
GGGCUCAAUGUCACUUGACGUGAGUGACUCCAUUUUCAGACAUUAGGAUCACAAAUCAUUAUCAUAUAUCAUGGCAACUAGAUCUUGGAUGAUGGCUUAAAGAGCUGGAACUUGGCUAAGCAUGGUGGCUUAUGCCUGUAAUCUCAACUCUUUGGGAGACCAAAGCAGGAGGAUCUCUUGGGUUCAGGACUUCGAGGCCAGCCUGGGCAACAAAGCAAGACCCUGUCUCUACAAAAAAAAAAAAUCAGCCAGGCAUGGUGGUACAUACCUGUAGACCUAGUUAGCAGGGAGGCUGAGGCAUGAGGAUUGCUUGAGCCCAGGAGUUUGAAGCUACAGUGAGCUAUUGAUUGCAUCACCACACUCCAGCCUGAGCAACAGAGCUAGACACUGUCUCAAAAAAACAACAACAACAACAAAAAACAAAAAACAAAAAAAAAAAGCUGGAACUUGAGGCUGAAUUUGAAGCAUCAAAAAGAAACAGCAAGAUUGUUGGGAGAUUGGUAGUGCAUUCCAGGUGACACAUUAUGGGGGCCCAAACUGGAAUUGUGGAAGUGAGUAUAUAGAUGAAGAAACAGAUUCGGAGAAUAUUGAGAAGGUUAAAUCAGGAGUACACGAUUACAGGAGAAAGAAGAGUGUGCAUUUGAAAGACUGGGGUAGGUGUAUCACAGUGUGGAACGUGGAGAAAAAGGAACCAAUCAGUAGACAAAGUUGUAGAUUUUCUUAUGGAUAUUUGACCCACUUAAAAUAUGAAGUCUUCCCAUCUAGGUUAUUGUAUUGGCUGGAACCUGAGAACACUGCCCCGAGACUGAUAUCUCUUCAUGCAGACCCUGGCUGGAACUGCUGCUGCUGAGAAAACUCAUUUUUUAUUUACUUCCCCAGAGAGAAAGUAACAAAGUUCUGAAAUUUUUAAAUCUGAGGUCUAAAGUAAAGACUGUUUUAUGCUGAUUUUUAAUCCUUGGGUGUAGUCUGACUGCCCGGAAAAAUGAAAGUCAAAAGGAGACAUAAUUUGGAAACACCUGUUGAUGUUUAAAGUCUCUAAAGCCAUUGAAAUUGGAGUGACAGUUCCAGCAUCUUCAUUGAAAAUAUGUCAAAAUAGAACUCUUGCAUACACAUUAACGCACUAUAUAACUUCAGGUUUAAAAAAUACCUUUUAUUAAGUGGCGUUGUAGACAGGGUUUGAAUCUCCAAGUACAACAGGGCAAACUUGUUUGGGAGAGAAUAUAGACCCGGUGUGGGAACAGAGUAGGAAUGGGGAUAAAGGGUGCAAGGAAAGCUUUUCCUGGAGAGAUGGGAAGAUAAAGAAUGUAUCUUUGCAGUUCAAAGGGAUGGGGGUAAGAAUUUUGUGACCUCUCUGGAAAAGUGCAAUUGUGGGAACUUCUCAGUCCAACCAGAGCCCAGGUUCUUGAAAACAGUAGAAAUGCAGGGCUGGGAACUAUGGCUUGCUCCUGUGAUCCCAGCACUUUGGGAGGCUGAGGCAGGAGGAUCCCUUGGGCCCAGGAAUUUGAGACCAGCCUGGAAAACAUAGGGAGACCCCAUCCCUACAAAAAAAAAAAAAAAAUACAAAAAUUAGCCAGCUGUGGUGGUGCACGUUUGUGGUCCCAGCUACUGGGGAGGCUGAAGUGGGAAGAUCGCCUGGGCCCAGGAAGUGAAGGCAGCAAUGGGCCGUGAGCUCACCACUGCACUCCAGCCUGGGAAACAAAGUAAGACUCCUGUGUGGAAAAAAUAAAAAUAAAAAAGCAGAAAUGCAAAUCUUGGGUGCUGGUGUGGUAGGAUGUUGUGGAUCUGGGAUUCUCAAACUUUAGUGACUAUAACAAUCAUCUGGGGAGCUGGCUUAAGAACGUAGCAAGCCAGAUCCCACUCUCAGAACUUCCCUUUCAGUUGUUCUGGGGUUGGUGCAGGAACCUGCAAUUGAAAAAGUAUUCUGAGUAUCGUAAUUCAAGUAGUUCUUGCGUUUUGAGAAAUACAUUGUAUUCUUCAUGAGCAAAGGGAUUCUACAAUUCAGUAUCCCUAUCCCUUUCCCCUGCUGAA